This 73-nucleotide transfer RNA is filed under the name Tepidisphaera sp. RNAcentral describes it as "tRNA-Ala". It matches the Rfam family "tRNA". Rfam says of the family: Transfer RNA (tRNA) molecules are approximately 80 nucleotides in length. Their secondary structure includes four short double-helical elements and three loops (D, anti-codon, and T loops). Further hydrogen bonds mediate the characteristic L-shaped molecular structure. tRNAs have two regions of fundamental functional importance: the anti-codon, which is responsible for specific mRNA codon recognition, and the 3' end, to which the tRNAs corresponding amino acid is attached (by aminoacyl-tRNA synthetases). tRNAs cope with the degeneracy of the genetic code in two manners: having more than one tRNA (with a specific anti-codon) for a particular amino acid; and 'wobble' base-pairing, i.e. permitting non-standard base-pairing at the 3rd anti-codon position. The record is from RNAcentral. Lineage: Bacteria; Pseudomonadati; Planctomycetota; Phycisphaerae; Tepidisphaerales; Tepidisphaeraceae. RNAcentral also lists the same sequence under 1 other name.
GGGGGCAUAGCUCAGUUGGUAGAGCGCAUCCAUGGCAUGGAUGAGGUCGUGAGUUCGAGUCUCUCUGCCUCCA